RNAcentral lists this transfer RNA (82 nucleotides) under Candidatus Peribacteria bacterium. Its description in RNAcentral is "tRNA-Leu". It matches the Rfam family "tRNA". Rfam says of the family: Transfer RNA (tRNA) molecules are approximately 80 nucleotides in length. The record is from RNAcentral. Lineage: Bacteria; Candidatus Peregrinibacteriota; Candidatus Peribacteria.
GCCCGGAUGAUGGAAUUGGUAGACAUGCACGCUUCAGGUGCGUGUGCCACAAGGUAUGGGGGUUCGAGUCCCCCUCCGGGUA